UUUACAAUUCAAAUCCCCUUCCUUGUAAAUUGAAAUUUUUGCUUCAAAGCUUUCCAAUUAGGGAUAUUUUACUCAAAUCGACAUUGUUUAAUAUAUUAUUUGAUUUGUCAAAGUUGAAGUAUGUUCUGCAUAAAAAGAUUAUCACAUAGUUGAGUUGAAAUAUGCAUAACAUGAGAUAUAGGUUGAGUGUAACCAAUUGAUUUAAAUAGCUUACACUUAGUACUUCAAUAAUCAUAGAUGAGUGUGUGAAAUUUCAUAACUUUAUAUCACUUUUACAAUUUGUAGUGAUUUUACG
RNAcentral lists this long non-coding RNA (295 nucleotides) under Cicer arietinum (chickpea). RNAcentral describes it as "long non-coding RNA (CARI_LNC002527)". Lineage: Eukaryota; Viridiplantae; Streptophyta; Magnoliopsida; Fabales; Fabaceae. The record is from RNAcentral.